Molecule: ribosomal RNA, 408 nt
Filed under: uncultured prokaryote
Description: bacterial SSU rRNA
Rfam family: Bacterial small subunit ribosomal RNA
Source: RNAcentral
UGGGGAAUAUUGCACAAUGGGCGCAAGCCUGAUGCAGCGACGCCGCGUGGGGGAUGACGGCCUUCGGGUUGUAAACUCCUUUCGUCAGGGACGAAGCGAAAGUGACGGUACCUGGAUAAGAAGCACCGGCUAACUACGUGCCAGCAGCCGCGGUAAUACGUAGGGUGCGAGCGUUGUCCGGAAUUACUGGGCGUAAAGAGCUCGUAGGUGGUUUGUCGCGUCGUUGGUGUAAGUCCACGGCUUAACGGUGGGAUGGCAGGCGAUACGGGCAUAACUUGAGUGCUGUAGGGGAGACUGGAAUUCCUGGUGUAGCGGUGAAAUGCGCAGAUAUCAGGAGGAACACCGAUGGCGAAGGCAGGUCUCUGGGCAGUAACUGACGCUGAGGAGCGAAAGCAUGGGUAGCGAACA